UACAGAGGGGGCAAGCGUUAUUCGGAAUUAUUGGGCGUAAAGGGCGCGUAGGCGGCCAUUCAAGUGACGGGUGAAAGCCCUCGGCUUAACCGAGGAGCUGCCUGUCAGACUGGAUGGCUUGAGACCGGGAGAGGUGAGUGGAAUUCCCAGUGUAGCGGUGAAAUGCGUAGAUAUUGGGAGGAACACCAGUGGCGAAGGCGGCUCACUGGACCGGAACUGACGCUGAGGCGCGAAAGCGUGGGGAGCAAACAGG
This 253-nucleotide ribosomal RNA is filed under the name uncultured bacterium. RNAcentral describes it as "partial 16S ribosomal RNA". It matches the Rfam family "Bacterial small subunit ribosomal RNA", at positions 524 to 776 of the family's 1533-position model. The record is from RNAcentral.